RNAcentral lists this long non-coding RNA (1553 nucleotides) under Olea europaea (common olive). Its description in RNAcentral is "long non-coding RNA (OEUR_LNC013736)". The record is from RNAcentral. Lineage: Eukaryota; Viridiplantae; Streptophyta; Magnoliopsida; Lamiales; Oleaceae.
GCAUUAAACAUAAUACCGAACAUGAUGAAAACUACAUUGAACGCACAAGAAAAGUUACAUAUAACGAGAAUACGACUUGUUUUGUCAUUUAUUUAUCGAAACUUGUAUAUCCAUCCAUAUAUGAUCAGUUAAUGCACCUCGAAAUGCAAGGUCCACAUCUACAUUCUUCAUUUGUGUAUGUUGAGCAAGGAGUUCUUGAAAUCGGGUAUAUCAUCUACAAACAUCUUGACUUUCAAAGUUGGCACUUCCAUUGAAUCUUCAAUUUGCACAUUAAAACACAUUCAUCUUCGAUUGUCAUAUUGUGCAAAAUUAUGCAAGUGAUCAUUAUAUCUUGUAAGAUACUUUUGUCCCACAUGCAUGCUGGUCCACACACAAUUGCAAACUGUGAACACCAAAUGUACGUUCCACAUCUUUUAUACAUUCUCAUAUUUCGUAGCAAAUAAUUUUUUUGGGACCACAUAGUUUAUGUCUUAUUUGGACAAGCGUAGACCAUUUUGGGUAUAUAAUAUCUGCUAAAUGAUAAGCCACGUUAUAUUCUUUUCCUUGAAUAACAUAAUGAGCGAGAGGAGAAAUACUUUCACCAAGGUCGGCAAAAAUGUUAGAUGCCUCCAACACAUUAAUAUCAUUGUUGGAACCUGGUAAACCAAAAUAUGCAUGCCAAAUCCAAAGAUAAGAAUUGGCUAUAGCCUCAAGAAUAAUAGUUGGGGGUUCUACUAUAACUUGCAUAUUAUCGUGCCCAAGUUGUUGGACAAUCUUUCCACUUUUAGUGCAUACAAUCUAGACUAACCAACAUUCCUAAAAAACCACAUUGUUCACCAAUAUGGAGUAGUAUCACAAUGUCGUUAGCAUUAGGUAAUCUUAGAUGUUGAUCUCCAAAUACCUCCAUAACAGCACUACAAAAUUUGUUGAGACUUUUCAGUUGCAGUGGAUUAUCCUAUUUUAACGUACUCAAUAGUAACAUCUACCGUGACUACAUAAGCCAACAUCCAAAAUACAACUGUUAUUUUUUGAUAAGCUGACAAUUCGAGUCUACCGGUUACAUCCCUUUUCUGUACGAAAUAGUUGUCAUGAACUUGCAAGGCCUCAAGUAUACAUACAAAUAAACUUCAAGACAUUCGAAAUUGUCGACGAAAUAAAUUUUCAUUAUAACGUGGCAUCUCGAAAAAUAGUUGUCGAACAGAUUUUUAUCAGCAUUUUCUUGGUCACAAUGGAUCAUUACAUGAUCGUAAGUAAAACCCCCACUGAUCGGUUCACUACUUUGUUGAUUGAAUAAUGAGCCACAAGGAUGUUGUUGUUGGAAGAAAUGCGAAUUAUCAAUUCUUGUUUUGCAUCAACAGAUUCUAGCUCAUUCUUAAAUGUUAUCGUCAAAUAAUGAAGAUGAAGCAGAAGAUGAAAUAUAAGAUGGACCUCCAUUAAUAAAAUUUAUACUUGACGAUGAAUUGAAUUGAAUGACAGAUUCAGGUUUAUAGAGAUAUAAUGGAAUAGAGGAUAAAAGAUAAGAUUUAUGUACAAUUUGAUCUCAACCAUUGAAUGGAUUUCAUCAGAAUCUCAAC